UGUUAUGAACGUCCUUGAAUAGAUCUCUGCUCGGCAUAACGUCAGAGUUGACACAGAAUCUGUUGGAUAAAAGAACUGGAAAAAAUCAACAUAACCAUCAAGCAAUGUACAACAUAUUCGUAUUCUUCCUGAUAUGCACAGGCAAGUUUGCAUUAGCUAUACGUAUUCAAAAUUUACCAUGUUUUACUGAUGAAUCCCAAACGGAUUUGGAAGAUGCUAGAAAAGAACUUACAACAGUAGAUAAUUACCUUGAAAAGACCGUGAGGAUACUGACAGAUGAGUUCCAGAAAACACUAAAUAUCAUGAAAAACCAAUUGGUGGGAAUGCAAACCAACGUCAGUAACAUAGUUAAAAAAGUGGAUACUGACCUUAUUCUUAUGUCGAAAGAUUUGGAAGGUCAAUGGACAAAGUAUCAAGGUCAUUGUUACCACUUUUCUUCAAAGGGUAAACCCUGGUAUAAAGCCGAG
Long non-coding RNA from Mytilus trossulus (common blue mussel), 467 nucleotides. RefSeq lists it as uncharacterized. Lineage: Eukaryota; Metazoa; Mollusca; Bivalvia; Mytilida; Mytilidae. The record is from RefSeq and is a predicted model, not a curated record. The transcript has 3 exons.